Molecule: long non-coding RNA, 1696 nt
Organism: Brassica rapa (field mustard)
Lineage: Eukaryota; Viridiplantae; Streptophyta; Magnoliopsida; Brassicales; Brassicaceae
Source: RefSeq, a predicted model, not a curated record
UUAAUCAAAAGUAAAAACAUAUGCUUCCAAAUCCUCGAGAACUUAUAUAAAUGAACAUAAGCACACACCAAACCUACAUUAUUUUAACUUCAUUUCAUUCAUAUGAACGAAAAUGCAAAUGUUUUUUCUUGAACAAUGUGUUUUUGUGUUCGAGAGUAAUUUUCUCCAGGCCUACAUUAUUAACUACAAAGUAGCCGUUAAAUAGAUAUUAAUUUCGAUGAAUCAUUGAAAGUUGGAAGUGAUUUAACACUUUCGCCUUGAAACCAAAUACAAAUGAACAAAUACUAACCUUACAUUCUUUAACUUUACAAAUUUACAAAGUACUAGCUAAUAGCCUAAUAUAAAGAAUUUCUGACCUAAUAUCAACAAAUGAUCCAAAUCGUUAAAAUAAUUUAUUUUUCAUCUUCAUCAAAAUGUUUUCUUUUAAAAGCUUUUCAACAAAAAUGUUUCUUUGUUGUGGUAUGUAAUUCAUCCUUUCCCCCAGUUAUCCCAUGUAUUUAAUGGAUUAUCGUGAAAGAUAACUAUGUGUUAAUUAUCUUUUCAUAAUGAACAAUGCGUGUGUUCGAGAGUAAUUUUCUCCACGCUACAUUGUUAACUAGUACAAAAUAGCCGUUUUAUAGAAAAUGAGAAACAUAUUUUGGGAAGCCAAUAAAACUCGUCUUGAAAAGCUUCGAUGUAACAUUGGAAACUGGAAGUAGUUUAGUUAAAGACUUAAAUUAAAUGUAAUUCGGCCUUGGAACCAUACUUUGUGAAACCCUAGUUUUGACCACUUUACUUGUCACUAACGGCUCAAAAUGCUCUGUCUCGAUGUCUCUCUCUAUAAAUAACACCACUACGAGUAGUUUUCUACUCAUUCACAAAACAUUUGACAAUAAACUUCUAUACUCUCCACAAUGGCUGUGUCGACACUAUUCCAAGGAAGAUCAUCCACAUUAUCAAACGAAGACGAACUGAGUGAUGUUUGCAUGUAUGCAUUUUGUGAUCUGUUUUUCUCUUGGAAACGUGUUAAAGACAAAAGCAGUCAACGGAUGAUGAAGCUGAUGUUCUAGCGUUUGAUCAGAGCUACAAAGAUAUUCUAGAGAACAAUAUAUAUUCGGCCUUUGCGUUAAUCAUAGUUUUUGGUUAUCGAUUUCGAGGCCACCCUGAUAGAUAUCCUCCGUCUGUACAGGCUCUUAGCCUCUUACAUAUUGUCUAUAGACCAAUAGAAUACGUUUUUCACCAUUGCAGCUUCUCUUAUAUCACCAUCGCUCCUCUAAUCUAUCCUUGGUACCAAUCUCUUCUUUUUCGUAUUUUGCUUUUAAUUUGGAUAGUUUGUGUUACUCGUUAUUUCAACAGAACUGUGAUUCACGUUAUUCUAAUUUCACUUAGAUUUUACAAGAUAUAGUAAAAAGAGAGAGAAAUACAGUCAUUAUAAUGCAUGUAAUUUUUGAGGAAUGCUCAGAGUUCUUGGAUGCAUAUUGGCGUCUACGUACUUUUAUAUGUUUUGUACACUUUAUGUAAUUCAAUUUUUUGGCAGUAAUUUUUUUUUGGUCAAAAGUAGUUAAGAGUCAAUGAUUAUUAUCAAAAUUUGACGAAUUUAUUUAGUGGUUAGCAAGUCGUAGUAAUUCUUUUGUUGUUUUGUUUUACACUUAAUUAUAAUUAACCAAGAUCAAUGUAUUGUUGUUACAAUUUAAUACUUGUAGAAGAAAGAUUGCUA